RNAcentral lists this ribosomal RNA (320 nucleotides) under uncultured eukaryote. RNAcentral's name for it is "partial 18S ribosomal RNA". It matches the Rfam family "Eukaryotic small subunit ribosomal RNA", at positions 1470 to 1796 of the family's 1831-position model. The record is from RNAcentral.
CCCCUAGAUGUUCUGGGCCGCACGCGCGCUACACUGAACAGUUCAACAAGUCUUAACCUUGGCCGAUAGGUCUGGGUAAUCUUUGAACGCUGUUCGUGAUUGGGAUAGACCUUUGCAAUUAUGGGUCUUCAACGAGGAAUUCCUAGUAAACGCAAGUCAUCAGCUUGCAUUGAUUACGUCCCUGCCCUUUGUACACACCGCCCGUCGUACCUACCGAUUGAAUGGUCCGGUGAAAUCUCGGGACGGCGGCUUGGUCGCUUGCGUCCGACUGCUGAAACUUGAUUAAACCAUAUCAUUUAGAGGAAGGUGAANUCGUANCA